This is a non-coding RNA of Misgurnus anguillicaudatus (oriental weatherfish), 3070 nucleotides long. NCBI's taxonomy places the organism in Eukaryota, Metazoa, Chordata, Actinopteri, Cypriniformes, Cobitidae. The record is from RefSeq and is a predicted model, not a curated record.
UCUUCCACCCAUCAUCACAGAGAGAAUCCCAACCAACCGCCAGAUUACAGAAAGCUCUGGACUGCUCAUAGCAGGGAUUUUCAAAGCUGUCCUGGAGGACCACUAGUACUGCACAUUUUGCAUGUUUCCCUUUUGUGACACACCUCAUUCAGUUACCUUACACACGCAGUUCAAGUCUUGCAGUCUCUACUAAUGAGCUGAAAAUUUAAACCAGGUGUGUCUAAUGAGGGAGACAUGCAAAUUGUGCAGUACUAGUAGUCCUCCAGGACAGCUUUGAAAACCUCUGGCUCAUUGCAUUGGACUGACCUAUGUUUACUGCGCUCUGAAAUCUGUGUUGGUAUAUGUUUAUUGCACUCUGUGUUGGUUACUGGACCGACCUGUUUAUUGCAGACUUUGAAAUCUGUUGGUUACUUGACUGUUUGCACUAUUUAAAAUGUGCUGUUUUAUUAAAGUUAUUAUAACCCUUUAAAGCUUUGUUUCAUUUUAUAAAAUGUUAUUUGGUAUGUUAAUGUGGUCCUGUUUUCAACAUUGAAAAGAUGGAUGAAUAUGGACCAAAAUUAGACGUUGAAGAUCGACCUGAUUUGAACGUUGAAAAGAUGGACGAAUAUGACGUCUUUUCAAUUUUCAUUUUCAACCUUCAAUGGACCAAAAUUAGACGUUGAAGAUCGACCUGUUUUCAACGUUGAAAAGUUGGACAAAUUUGACAUCUUUUCAAUUUUCAUUUUCAACCUUCAGUGGACCAAAAUUAGAAGUUGAAGAUCGACCUGUUUUCAACAUUGAAAAGUUGGACAAAUUUGACGUCUUUUCAAUUUUCAUUUUCAACCUUCAGUGGACCAAAAUUAGACGUUGAAGGUUUAGGUCUACUCAACGUCCAAUAGACGACUUUUUGCUAGCUUUGGGGUUUCUUUUCCUCGUCGCGUUUGGUUAAGCACAUGGUGAAACAGUAUGCACAUCACUGUACCUGCCGUACUGUACACCUGUGAGCGGCAUGACGAGACAAAAGACAGUAAAACUCAUUAUUAAUCGGUGAUGCUGUACAUUCUGGAUGAUGCACAGCCACAUUUUAUAAUACAGUUUUUUAUUUUCGUGUGGCGCCGCUCGCGUUCAAUAUAAAGUUAGACAAGACGCAAUUAAUUACUGGGAGAGUAGUGGUCUAAUGGUAAGAGUCGAACUUCACGAACCUUUCACUGCUUGCAGUAAGGCUAAAGUGCUACGUGAAUAAGAUGGGUGUAGUUUUGUGCUACUAGCUGUAAAGUAUUUUUGCACUAUUGAGUUAUAAAUACUGCCCAGUAAUACUUAACUAGAUGUAAAUCACAAUUCUUGUGUCAAUGUUUGUUUGUAAUCUUUUUCAGCUAUCCAUCUGAAAAAGAAAAGCUGGCACUCUCAAAGGAGAUUGUGUUGUUGGAUUAAGGUCUCAUUUGGUCAAAAAGAGGGACAUGUACUGUAAGGAUGCUUUUACAUACUUCAUUAAUGUGUAUGAAAUUACUUACUUGACAAUGUGUAUAAAAACUGUACUUGACUCUAACUAAGUGCUAUUUUUGCAUUGAUCAUGAUAGGAGCAUUUUUUUUAAUGGGCCAUCACACAGUGGAUUUAUAAAAAUGAGAUUACAGAACAUCAGACGGUAGCUUCAACAGAGUUGAAUUGGGAGGACAUCAUCAAUAAAGAAUGCCAUUGACCAAACCUUAAGUCAUCAAAGAAGAUGGAUACAGGGGGACAUCAAGUUUUCCAGACUUACCGAUGGGAAAGAAGAAAUGGGAAUGUGACAAUUAUUGAGAAACUCAGGGGAAAAAGCAUCUUUAGAGAAGAAAAUGGACAUCAGACAUUUAUUGAAGAAAGCUGACAGUCAACAUAAUGAUGAGAGCUGUGUUAUACAAUGUUAAGGAUACUCGUUCAUCUUCUGCUGUUUCAGUCCGGUGGGACUUGAUGCCGGCUGGUACCAGCGUGACGUCUUUGCUUACUAAAUGAUCAAAGGGUGUCUGAAAUCAGCUCAGCCACAGUUGGUUUCCAACGGUUCUUCAGGACAUGGAGGCCACUACGUAACUGUUGCAAUGAACGAUUCUUUUGCCUUUCCACCUGAUGUUGACAAUCUGACCUGUGCGGUACUGAAAACAACUUGCACUGACAUAUCUUAAAAUAUAUCAGUGCCCUUUGUUUUGCCUCAAAAUGCACACCAGUAAUGUUUUUUGUUGAAACCAGUUAUAUUUCUUAAUUAAACUAAGGCCUAGUCCUGGAUUAAGCUAAUCCCUUGUCCGGGAAACCGCCCCUAAAUGUUUUGUGACGGAAAUUUCUUUGAAUACACUUGUCAAGUUCAUUUUAAGUAUUUUUCUAAAUGUAAGAUAACAUGUUAAUGUUUCAGGACAAGUUAAAAUUUUUUGAUAACUUGCAUGUUGGAAACGAUUUCAGACAUUGUUCUAUUCAACAUGUUUAACACAGUUGCUUUUAAAUUCAAUGAAUUAUUUUAUAAAUAGUGUUUUAAAAAGUAUCAAUGUAAUGUAUGUUUGAAGUAAUUAUACCUGCACUUACAUUUAUUUAAAUUAGCAUACAUCUAGCCAGGGGCGGAGUGGGACCAAAAAAUCUACCGGGAAAUUUCGUAUACCACCGGCCCUCCGUGGUAAAAAAAAAUGUUUCGUAGCCUAUUUGUAGUAAAACUAGGGUAGGCUAAUAAGAAUCGUAAUCAAUUUGCCCCCCCCAAAAAAAAAACUUUUUCAUAAUAAUAAUAAUAAAAUCAUUAAAUCAUGGCUAAUUUUCCUAAUGAGUAACUAUACAAAAUGAUACCUGGUUGAAAGACGGAGAUGCGCACCUCAAUCAGCUAUUACAUAACAGAGCGAGACCAGAGAUGAUUGUGCUCAUAAACGGAGUAAUAUGGAAUAAUUUGUGCAUCUUUGAAUAACUGUAAGAAUAUUUCCUUUAAAUAUAAUUUUUGUCAUAUAAAGUUUUGAGAGAUAGCCUAAUAAUGUUUUUUUCUACGGUUAUUGCUUAUUUAUUUUAACGUGUUUGGCGCAUUACCUAAGAAUACAGUUCAUUUGAAAAUAAUUUUUGUCAAAGUUUUGAGAAAUAAUAAUGUUGUGA